RNAcentral lists this unclassified non-coding RNA (287 nucleotides) under uncultured Actinomycetes bacterium. Its description in RNAcentral is "uncultured actinobacterium contains 16S-23S intergenic spacer region". The record is from RNAcentral. Lineage: Bacteria; Bacillati; Actinomycetota; Actinomycetes.
UCCGGCUUGACGCCGGCAGUCCCCCGACAGCCAUGCACCACCUGUAUACCGACCUUGCGGGGGCUGCAUCUCUGCAGCUUUCCGGUAUAUGUCAAACCCAGGUAAGGUUCUUCGCGUUGCAUCGAAUUAAUCCACAUGCUCCGCCGCUUGUGCGGGCCCCCGUCAAUUCCUUUGAGUUUUAGCCUUGCGGCCGUACUCCCCAGGCGGGGCGCUUAAUGCGUUAGCGCCGGCACCCAGAGGGUCGCUCCCCCAGGCACCUAGUACCCAUCGUUUACGGCGUGGACUAC